This 645-nucleotide ribosomal RNA is filed under the name uncultured bacterium. RNAcentral's name for it is "bacterial SSU rRNA". It matches the Rfam family "Bacterial small subunit ribosomal RNA", at positions 220 to 856 of the family's 1533-position model. The record is from RNAcentral.
UAAGGAUGGGCCUGCGGCGCAUUAGCUCGUUGGUAAGGUAACGGCUUGCCAAGGCGACGAUGCGUAGCCGACCUGAGAGGGUGAUCGGCCACACUGGAACUGAGACACGGUCCAGACUCCUACGGGAGGCAGCAGUAGGGAAUCUUCCGCAAUGGGCGAAAGCCUGACGGAGCAACGCCGCGUGUGCGAAGAGGGUCUUCGGAUCGUAAAGCACUGUUGUUAAGGAAGAACGACAGUAAGAGUAACUGCUUACUGUGUGACGGUACUUAACCAGAAAGCCACGGCUAACUACGUGCCAGCAGCCGCGGUAAUACGUAGGUGGCAAGCGUUAUCCGGAAUUAUUGGGCGUAAAGCGCGCGUAGGCGGCGAGAUUAGUCUGAUGUGAAAGCCCCCGGCUCAACCGGGGAAGGUCAUUGGAAACUGUUUCGCUUGAGUGCAGAAGAGGAGAGUGGAAUUCCAUGUGUAGCGGUGAAAUGCGCAGAGAUAUGGGGGAACACCAGUGGCGAAGGCGGCUCUCUGGUCUGCAACUGACGCUGAUGUGCGAAAGCGUGGGGAUCAAACAGGAUUAGAUACCCUGGUAGUCCACGCCGUAAACGAUGAGUGCUAAGUGUUAGGGGGUUUCCGCCCCUUAGUGCUGCAGCAAAC